UGUUAAAAAUUUUAUCUAUUUCUACCAUUAAAAACUGGUCUAGCUGAUUGAAUAAUCAGACAAUGCCACGUAGUGUGCCAUGCAUAUCUCCUGUUGAUAUAUAGAGACUAAUUUUUAAUAAUAAAAUUUGAUAGAAUUUUUAACA
Molecule: non-coding RNA, 145 nt
Organism: Gossypium raimondii (Peruvian cotton)
Lineage: Eukaryota; Viridiplantae; Streptophyta; Magnoliopsida; Malvales; Malvaceae
Source: Rfam